Molecule: ribosomal RNA, 511 nt
Filed under: uncultured bacterium
Lineage: Bacteria
Description: partial 16S ribosomal RNA
Rfam family: Bacterial small subunit ribosomal RNA
Source: RNAcentral
UGGGGAAUUUUGGACAAUGGGCGAAAGCCUGAUCCAGCAAUGCCGCGUGUGUGAAGAAGGCCUUCGGGUUGUAAAGCACUUUUGUCCGGAAAGAAAUCUUUGGCUCUAAUACAGUCGGGGGAUGACGGUACCGGAAGAAUAAGCACCGGCUAACUACGUGCCAGCAGCCGCGGUAAUACGUAGGGUGCAAGCGUUAAUCGGAAUUACUGGGCGUAAAGCGUGCGCAGGCGGUUUGCUAAGACCGAUGUGAAAUCCCCGGGCUCAACCUGGGAACUGCAUUGGUGACUGGCAGGCUAGAGUAUGGCAGAGGGGGGUAAAUUCCACGUGUAGCAGUGAAAUGCGUAGAGAUGUGGAGGAAUACCGAUGGCGAAGGCAGCCCCUGGCCAAUACUGACGCUCAUGCACGAAAGCGUGGGGAGCAAAGCAGGAUUAGAUACCCUGGUAGUCCACGCCCUAAACGAUGUCAACUAGUUGUUGGGGAUUCAUUUCCUUAGUAACGUAGCUAACGCGUG